AAACUCCAAGAACCUGCUCUAUCUCUAGACCACCUCUCCUCCUUCAGCUCUUAGAUCGCUCGCUUCAGGCCCAAGCUCGAUGAGAUCUACUAGUUACAAGAUGAUAGAGCCCCAGCUAAGCUAUAUUGCCAAAAAAGCAUUUGAAGCAUUCAUGAUGGAUUGAAAUCAUGUAUCCUGGACAUGUUAACUUCUUUUUAGUUUGAAACAAGUGACAUGUCAUGUACAUAUUUUUGGUAUUUGUUAAGUUAUAUUUCUUAUAGAGAUUGUAAUAGCUCAUUGUUGAGCUUGUGAAAACAAUUCUUCACUAACCCCCUUUUUUUUUGAGGUAACUCGAACUUAAGUUUCAGACCAUUUGUUGAAUAAACAAAAAUUUUCAUGUUA
This is a long non-coding RNA of Quercus robur (English oak), 381 nucleotides long. RefSeq lists it as uncharacterized. Lineage: Eukaryota; Viridiplantae; Streptophyta; Magnoliopsida; Fagales; Fagaceae. The record is from RefSeq and is a predicted model, not a curated record. The transcript has 2 exons.